RNAcentral lists this ribosomal RNA (253 nucleotides) under uncultured bacterium. RNAcentral describes it as "partial 16S ribosomal RNA". It matches the Rfam family "Bacterial small subunit ribosomal RNA", at positions 524 to 776 of the family's 1533-position model. The record is from RNAcentral.
UACGUAGGGUCCGAGCGUUGUCCGGAAUUAUUGGGCGUAAAGGGCUCGUAGGCGGUUUGUUGCGUCGGGAGUGAAAUCCUCCAGCUUAACUGGAGGCUUGCUUUCGAUACGGGCAGACUUGAGGUACUCAGGGGAGAAUGGAAUUCCUGGUGUAGCGGCGAAAUGCGCAGAUAUCAGGAGGAACACCGGUGGCGAAGGCGGUCUGCUGGGCCGUUGCUGACGCUGAGGCGCGACAGCGUGGGGAGCAAACGGG